CCAUUGUUAAAAGCGCUUUCUAUAGACAUAAAUUAAAUUGAACUUUUAACCAUAGUAUGUUUUUGUUUGGAAAAUUGGUUGGAGAAGGCUGGAUCUUCUCUUACAAAAUACCUGACAAUUUUUUUUUAAUAAUAAUUACAAAUAAGAUAUUCUUGAAUAUUCACCAGGAGUUUCUAGAAAACUAUACGGUAGAUUGAUGUCCCUCCAUUGAUGGGCUGUGACCCAGUACAGUUUGGUGAUUUUCCUCUCUUAAAGCACUCGAUUCACCAGUUAUGAAUCAGCUUUAGUAGGUGUGCCCUCAGGGACUGUUGUUUUUCCACCCCUUGUCUAUACAGACUCCAUAAAAAGCAAUAUGGCAGCCAUAAAAUACUGACCUUAAAGUGAAAAAUUGAGUUUGUGUGCAGGUCAGAAAGCUGCUGAGAGCUGCACAAGGUAACUACGACUCUGAGGCGUCAAACCGCAAGAGAACGGCUUUGAUGGAAUCAUCACAAUAAAACAUCUGGAGCGCACGUGCGAGUCCGCCUCAGCGUUUCGAAAUCCACGACGACGGCCCACAAAAGCGACCUCCGCACCUGCCGUCUUCUCUACAGGAACCCCCUCAGAUCAUCAAGCCGUACCCUGAAGUAUGAGAGGAGAUGAGCUUCGGUGAUGAAAUCUGGCUCUGAUGUGAUUGAUUUUAGAUCAGCAGCCUUCACAUCAGUGCGACUCGAGAGAAAUCUUGGCUCUGGACUACAAACACAAAUAAAUCUGCAGUCGGGAGAAGAUUUAAUUAUCUCUAAUAUCGAAGAUCUUUCAUUAUUGACGCUGAGUCUGCUGAAGAUCCUUGAUGCUUUGAAGAGGAGGAGAACAUGGGAAUUAACCUGGAAGGAAUUAACUCAUGUGUGAAGCUGAAAGUAAUAAGUACACCGUGGAGCUCAGCAGCUACGGAGCUGCGAUAAUAAGGAAUGGUUUUGAAGGAUGGAAAAAUGUCACCUGAUCUUUCUACCUAUAGACUGUUGUGUGUGUGUGUGUGUGUCUGUGUGUGUGUGUGUGAACAUCUCACAGUUAGUACUUACUGAAGUCUACCAACAAACAUCACGUUAUUUCUACAUUCUGAUGUGAACAUUACCUGAAACUCUUCAUCUCUGUCUGCAUUAUUAUAUACAUUGUGCUCAGGUAUACAUGUGUUCUUGAUUUCUUCAUUAUUUCUUACUUGCUAUGUUUCUAUUCAUUCAUUCAUUCAUUCAUUAUCUACCGCUUAUCUGGACUUCUCGGGUCCCGGGGAGCCUGUGCCUAUCUCAGGCGUCAUCGGGCAUCGAGGCAGGAUACACCCUGGACGGAGUG
Molecule: long non-coding RNA, 1323 nt
Organism: Tachysurus fulvidraco (yellow catfish)
Lineage: Eukaryota; Metazoa; Chordata; Actinopteri; Siluriformes; Bagridae
Exons: 3
Source: RefSeq, a predicted model, not a curated record